GUUUUGUUCAUCUUUGGUUUUGGUAUUUUGUUUAGAUCACUGUGGUUUUAGGUUUAUCUUUUAGUUGGGUCCUGUUCACUAUGCUUUUGUCUGAGUGCAUGCUCUUGUCUGGUGUUCAGGGCCUUGAAUGAUGCAAUGCACUA
Molecule: long non-coding RNA, 143 nt
Organism: Thalassophryne amazonica
Lineage: Eukaryota; Metazoa; Chordata; Actinopteri; Batrachoidiformes; Batrachoididae
Exons: 3
Source: RefSeq, a predicted model, not a curated record